AAACAUGGCAACGUUUGUUUACAUUCGCAAGGCCGUCGAUUGUUGCACGCGCUGCCCGGCAAUUGGUAUUGGCAAUUGGCGAAGAAAAUAUGCCGGCAGCCCUUAAAGAAUGUAUUUUAAAGCCCGUCACCUCGGAACACCCACCGAUACGCAUCAACACGACGGAGCAAACGAUAGUGGGCCGAAGUCCGGAUACGUUAAUACAGGAUGCAAACUGUUCCCGGAAGCAAGUCUGUCUCAAGGCCAACCUGAAGGACGGCUAUGUGCUGGUCAAACCGCUUGGCCUGAAUCCCUCGGUGCUGAACGGCAAAGAGCUGCAACGGAACGUUGGCUAUGAAGCGGUCCACGGUGACACGAUCGAGCUGCUGCCAGGAAUGUAUAAGUACGUGUUUGAGUUCAUAUACGAGCCGUGUACCAGCCCGGAAGCCAAAUCGCCAAAGCUGAAAACAAACAACAAGCCCGUGGAUGUAAAUAGCAGCAGCAGCAGCAGCAGAAGUAGCACCGGUAAACGGUCGCGCGAGGAACACUCACCCAGCGGUACGAAAUCGAAGCGCUCGAAAGCGGAGGUGGCCGAACUGGCGUCAACAACGGCAGCGGUGGUAGGGAACGAACCCAAACCACCAAAACCCAGCGCGCAAGACGCGUGGCAAUCAUAUGACGAUGCGCUGCUCCACGUCUACACCAGUGCCGGUGUGGUGGCAUCGGACCGGGUGGCCGCCUACGACAUGGACGGCACGUUGAUAAAGACGAAAUCGGGCAACGUGUUCCCGAAGUCAAUCGACGACUGGCAGAUCGCGUUUCCGGAGGUACCGGGCAAGCUGAAGACGCUGCACCGCAACGGUUUCAAGCUGGUCAUAUUCACAAACCAGGCCGGCAUCGGCAAGGGCAAGGUGCGCAUCGAAGACUUUCGCCAAAAGAUCGAAGCGCUGGUACGGAAGCUGGCCGUCCCGAUGCAGGUGUUCAUUGCGACCGGUGCGGGCAAGUACCGGAAACCAAGGCCGGGCAUGUGGCAAACACUGUGCGAACGGCAGAAUGACGGUGUUCCCAUCGAUCGGGCCCGUAGCUUCUACGUGGGUGAUGCGGCCGGUCGGCCCGAGCUGAAGAAACCGAUCAAACGCAAAAAGGACCACUCGUGUGCCGAUCGUCUGCUGGCGCUCAACGUCGGCAUUAGCUUCCUGACGCCCGAGCAACAUUUUCAAAAUCUGCCCGACACCACGUGGACGAAGCCGGAGUUCGAUCCAAAGGAGGUUUGUGGUGGGCCGGCCUCGAGCCCGAUACUGCAACCGGCCGGUGCAGCGCUGACCAGCGUCGGUCAGGAGGUGAUCGUAAUGGUCGGUUACCCCGGCGCGGGCAAAAGCCACUUCGUUCGUCAGCAUCUCGUAACGCACGGGUACGAGGUGGUGAACCGGGACACGCUCGGCUCGUGGCAAAAGUGUGUCACACACAUGGAGGUGUCGCUCCGGCAGGGCAAGCGUGUCGUGGUCGACAAUCUCAACCCGGACGUGGAAAGCCGCAAGCGGUACCUGCUGGUGGCGAACCGGGCCAACAUCCCCGUGCGCUGCUUCCUGAUGGACGUUAGCUACAAGCACGCGCGCCACAAUAACGAGUUCCGGGAGAUGACGGACCGUACCCAUUCCACCAUCUCGGAGAUGGUCUUCAACUCGUACAAAUCUAAAUUUCAGCCACCGACCGUAGCGGAAGGAUUUACGGAAAUUGUGAAAGUGCGCUUCGUGCCGAGCUUUGCCAACAAGGAUCACGAACAACUUUACCGGAUGUUUUUGUUGGAGAAAUAGCUGGAGAAACCGAUUGCGAGAACGGUAGCGGACUGGGGAAAAGUGUUAAAAUUGAAAGCUAUUUCGACCAGCAGCACGGGUUCAAGUCGACCUCCGUUUGGAUGGAACCGGCGUAAUCAAUUAGGUGUGUACGUGAGCGGCUCCUCCAGCUUGUGUGUGAGAUGUUGCAGCGUUGCGAAAAACGUGCUCCAUCGAAUACCCUUCGAACUAAAUAUUAUUCUGGAAGUUGAGUGCUGAUUCGUACGGUUCUGCCUGUCUUGCUAGUGCGUUGAAGCAGAGCCCGCGUGCUAUUAACGAGGAGAUGCUCCUUGAUCACUGUGUGAGACCUCCCCAAACAGCAUCCCCAUCCGCGAAAUCUCCGGACGCGAUAAUAGUCGUCGUACUGCUCCUCCUUAUCUUUAGUUUGUGCGAAGAGCCCAGCAACGAUUGGCAAUAUUCACGAUAACAGAUCUGGUGCGUUAUCGAGGACCGGCGGUGUUGUUCAGUUAUUUGUUUGGUAAAAACUAUUGAAGCUUUUGUAUACCGCCACUAGCACAGCAGGCUGUUGAAGCACUGGUAAAAAAUCAAAUAUUCAAAUUGACCGUUACCGUUACCGUUAAAUGAAUUCGUGAUGCUAUCGUGCUUUUACAGCAGCAACGAUGAGUGUGCCCGGCGACGAACGAACACCACCGGAUCAGCAGGCACGUACCUUCCUAGCAGAAUCUAAAAAAGGCCGCUCCACGAUCCAUGGCGACCUGUACCACCUGCGGUUUGCCAUCGUGACGAUUCUGCGGGCGUUCAAAACGUACCUGGACGGCGGCCUGUCCACCUUUAUCGUCGCCGUUGAGGUGGAGCAAGCCGGCAAAUUCGACGACAUCAUGUACUUCUACGAAUUAUCCGAUGGCGCCGGUACGUUCUUUAUGCAGGCAAAACAUAGACUAGACGCAAGCAACAAACUGGGAAAGGAUGCGCUGUGCACUGCCGCCGAUGCAAAGUCAGCCUACGCCAUCCCGAUGUACUUUCUGUCGUUUCUCGAGAGCGAUCAUCUCCUGCCCAGCAACGCACGUUCCGUCCUGUGCACCAAUGCUGCACUCCAGCAGCAGAUCAAACGACGUUACUUUCAUAAGAUCGACCCGCAGCAGGACAGGUCCUUACAGUUUUGCGUCCUGUUCCUGUUAUCAGUUCACCGGUGACCACCAGCUACCAGCACUAACCGAAACACUAAGACGCGUAAGCUUCGCCCAACUGGGUGCAAGGCUCGCGCAGACUGUCACUCGUGCUGAGGUACUUACCUUCGACGACACACUGACCAACACCUGUGCCGGCUUCCUACACGACCGCGUGCUCGAGGCAUUACGCACGGACGUAACGAACAAUUCGUCUGGAAAUUCCAUUUUCCGGUUUAAAGAAAGCUUUCUCACUGCCGACGACGAUUCCACGCCGGAAACAAUAGUGCGGGAAGCUUUUCGUACUGCGUACGAAACGAACGCUGUGGUGCCACCGAUGAUCAACCUAAGCGAGCUGCAGAUCAAAGUUAAUCUUGAUGCGUUCGCAUCCGCCAGAAACACGGACGACAGGGAUAUCGUUUUGAAGUUUUACCGUAAACUUUAGCUCGUGCUUAACUCCUUGGAUGUGGACGGUUUGCAGCGCAAAGCAAUGACCCUGCUACCGGAGUGGUGUGACGCAGAACGUGAAGCCGUGUUAUACCGGUUGCAGCAGAAGCUGUUGGAAGCAAUGAAUAGUAAGCAGCCGGUCCCGCUGGACCUGCCAAAGAUACAGCAAUGCUUCACGGACUUUAGCGAGCUGGAAGCAGUGCAUACGGGACUUGUAACAUUCGUCGAAAAAAUACCUCGGCCCCUAUCCGCAUCUGGAAGUGCAGCGGAACCGGUUGGAAGCUUCACCGUGGUACGGCUUUCUAACGAAGGAGUCACACGGGGAGAUCGGUGCGUUUCGCAGUACGCCCCAGUACGAGCCUCCGGUGAGCUGUCUGUUGGUAGCGCAAAUGUUAGCGUUAAUCAAGCAGGAAACAUUCGUCAUUGAUUGUGGCAAGUUUAGCGAAGGGCUGAAGGAUGUGCUUUCGUAUCUGAGGGACGUAAAUCAUCCGACCGUAAAAGUGACCACCGUUCUCGGAAUGCGCGGUGCAGUGUCAAUGGCUGAGCUGGAGCAAUUUGCAAAGCACUAUCGGCAAAAGAUCGUCGUUAUUGGUGACGGGCCGUCCGCUCCAAGGCAGCAGUGGACGGUGGAGCUUUUCGAGCAGUUUGCCGGGACAGAUCUCACGCCCGCUAGUUGGAGCAAGCUGUUUGAACGAACCGAAUGCAAGUUGCGAUUGUGUAAGCCAGCCGGUAAGAUAGGAAGCCAUAAUGUGAAAGACUUUGCGUUCCCAGCUGUCCAAGGCGGACGUGGCGAACAUCAUCGCGAGCGAGCCGAGGGACGAAGAACCGGCUCACUCCGCUAUCCAUCCCGACGAGGACCGCACCGCCGCUAAGGUUUGUGUCUUGCUGAAUGAUGCGGGAUAUAGGAAAUCCUACUACCUAACGUGGCUUGCCUGGCGUUUGCCGGUCCGUUAUCCUGCCCUGUUUGUCGUCAAGCUCGUCGCCAUUGAAUAUUCGGAACCUCAACAAACGGUGGAACGAGGAGAACGACACAGAUCGGGCCAAUGCCGAUCGCUGUGCGGAACUGCUGUCCCUGCAAACCGGUCAGCUAGAGUUGGACGAAGCAAAGGUAGCCCGACUGUCCGCCGAAGAGCUGGUUCAGUUGCGCCUGUUCCGGGUGAAGUUCCGGGAGCGGCGGCUCGUGCUGAUCCUGGACGGAUGCGACGAGAUUGCGCCCGACUACAAGGAUGUGGUGAUGCGUUGCAUGGCACGGUUUGUCGCACUCGGCGGGAUACGGCUGCUGUACCAGUCUAGCCGACCGUACGGAUUUGAGCAAGAACUGCGUACCUUCAACCAUCGUCAGAUUUACCGGCUAAAAACCACUGUCGCGUGAAGGAAUCGUGCGUUCGUGGCACAAAUUUCUGCGCGAAAAGCUACCCGCCUACCGGACCGAUGGAGUGGACCAGUCCAUGCUGUAUAUGGUGCAGACUGUACUGCUGUCAGAAAUUGGGAAGCGCGAAGCAGAACCCUCACACACCAUAUCGUUCGACACGCUGGACGUGCUGCGGCUUGACCAGUACCGGCUUGUGAAACGGUUCGUUUGGCUAAAGCUAGCCAUUUUCCACACCGAUAAAAUGGGCACGACCGAUUCCGCCCUGAAGACGGUGGCGGCCAACAGGCGGCAGAUGGCAGAGAAUAAGAAAAUAGUGCUGCGCCACAUGCUGUUGGCCAUGUACGUCAUUUUCAACCGACAGGACUGUGUCAGGUUACUGAGGGAGGAAUGCGAGACUGUUCCCAGGCUGAUGAAGGCGGUGCUCGAGGGCGAAGAAAAAACGGGCUUCGUGCUGGGCGUCGUGAACGGAAUUCCACGAUUCGUUCAUCGCACAUUUGCCGAGUUCUUCGCCGGUUGCUGACUGUACGAGAACCGGCCUCGGUUGGGCCAGGAGCGCAUCUUCAAGUCGCUGCCGUUUUGGUCAGAAUCCUUCAGGCAAACGCGCUAUUUCUUCGACUGUCUGCUGCUGAAGGAAGCGGGUGGCGGUAAGCAACAGGUGCACGAAAUGCUGCGUGAUAGCGCGUCUGCUGCUCCUGCGGCCGAUGAUCGCUCGCCAAUACCAUUCGCCGGCGGCUCAUACCUUGAGGCGAUGCUGUAAAACAUGCCGCCGGAUAAUCGUAUCAAUGCCGCGGACACGCUGUUUGGAUGGAGCGCUUUAGAGUACGCGUUUGUGAUGCAUGAUGGCGAUGCGGUAGCCAAACUCGCAGCUGCCGGCGCCAAACUACCACACCUAGACCAUCUGUUUGAGCAGCUGUUUGCCAACGAUUCGACGGACGUUACGUUCAAGCAGGCUGUCAUGUAUGCUUCCUACCUGGGAAGCACAGCCAAACGCUAGCGGACAAAGCCGAUGAACUGUGCGCCCGUGUCGCACACUAUUUGCUGGACGAGAGAAGACAUUUGCGCGCCCAGCGAACACCUGCACGCGUCCACAAUGUUAGAAUAUUGCGUGCAGCGGAAAAGCGUAACCAUGUUACACACCAGCUCAUCGCACGGUCCGACCGACGGGAGCACAUUCUGGCGACUCUGUCCGAUUCCUUGCUCAAGCUGUCCUUUUUGGGAGGAGGCGGAAGAUACGGAAACCUAUCUCUGGCAGCACUGCUCGCUGGACAGAACGAGCGACACGUUUCUGCAGGAGCAUGUUGUGUACGCGAUACAAAAAAAAGCAAAGUUCCCGUGUUUCGAAGGAUCUUUCACGAGCUGUAUCGCCGGUACGAGGUGGCGUGUGCGGACGAAAGCACCAUUACGACGCUGGCGAACUACACUCACCGGCAUGGGAAUGCCGAUUUCUUUGGGUUUCAGUGUUGUCCCAGGAAGGAACGCACUUUGCCUUUCGGCAGUGUAGUGGGCAUAGAUAAUACCUUCCCCAUACAGCUGUUGGCUAAAGCGGCAGAAGUUGGACGGGUGCAGUUGAUGAGUUACAUGAGUGCAGAAGACGAACAUGAACGUCAGCUUCGAGAUAAUGGAGCAGCUGGUGGAAUGUUUCUACGUGCGCAGAUUUUUGAUGUACGAUACGCAAGAUCAUCGCUGCUGUACGCCUGCGUUCGAGUAUCUGCUCAGCAAACUUUCGAUCAAUUUCGCCCAAUAUGGGCCCACUUGGUUCGAGUUUAUCGUCGAGAAGGGCUGCCUGUACAUGUUACCCAGCCUGCUCUCCCUAUUGUUCGAUCCGGGGCGGAUGCGAACCUGCUAAACAAUCCCGAUCAACGGAUGACUCGAUUAUUCAUUUACCCUGCAGGACCAAGCGUACGUUGAUUUCUUCGACCCUUCGCACGAGCGGCUAACAGUGGCGACAGGUGCACGGACACAUACGUUUAAACCGCUUUUUGCGUCCCUGUUUGCGCUAUCGUUAAGGGAUAAUGCAUCAUAUGUGACGGAUUAUCUACUGGAGCAUCGUAGCUUUGCAGCGCACCUGAUAGGAACCACCAGGCAGCUGAUCGCGUGCUGUGAGUAUGCAAUAGGCAAGCGUAACAUGAAGGCGGUUCGAAUGAUUUUCCACCAGCUGUGCAUGCAGCAGCAGAUUGAGUGUGCUGCAGAGAGCAGCAUUACGCCGGAAGGUGAUGAUCGGGUAUCGGGAACGAGGGAAAUUGAGCAUUUGGCAAGACAACAUUGCUGUCCCCAGAUGCACACUCGUGCCAGAGAUUCCAGCAUUGCAAUAGAGGAUAGAAAAAUGUUUCAACUACAAUUGUUGGCGUGUGCGGUAAGAGCCAGAAGCGUUCCUGUGGCUAGUUACAUAGUACAGAAGACGAGAAUGCCCAUAAACAGAGAGACAAUUGGGCAACUGGUGCAAUGUUUCAGAUGUUUGAAGUCGCACCGGAACUCUGUGCCCGCGUUCAAAUAUCUUCUUCGCUUGUACGAUCACGCUCAGGAUGGAUCCUAUCUGUUUGAGUUUAUCGUCGAGAAGGGCUGCCUGUACAUGUUACCCGGUUUGUUCGCCCUAGGGUUCGAUCCCCAACGGAUCAAAUUGGAACGUUUUGCGAACCUAUUGAACGAUCCAGAUCACCGUAUGGCUCAUUUAUUUAUGUACCUCCAGAAACAUGCGUACGUGGAAUUCUUCGUACGUAAGCGACUCACAGAAGAGACGGAUCAGGCGGAGCGCCAUUUUGAUGCCUUCCUCGAGUCAUUGGUUGGUCUAUCAUUGAAGGAAAAAAUGUUCAUUGUUGCAAAUUAUCUGCUGGAACAUCGCAGCCCGCUGCUGGAAAUGAGCAGUGACAGUGACCUGAUCGCAUGCUGUGAACAUGCAAUAGUGGACAAGAAUCUGAAAGUGUUUAGAGACAUCUUCCACGAGCUGUGCAUCCGGCAUGAGAUUGAGUGUGCUGAAGAGAGCAGCAUUGCAUCGGAAAAUGACAAUCAAGAGGAGGAGAACAAACUGAUGGACUUGAAGGAUUUCCUGUUUGGUUGCUGCUGUCCUUAUAUGUACAAUAAGUACAAUGUAUUAAAUAACUUCCUGCACAACAAGCACAUCCGUGAUACGUCGUUUCGAAGAAAAUUGUUGGCCGAAGCGGUACAAGCCGGUAGCGUACCGGUGACCAGUUACAUCGUUCACAAAACAAGCAUGUCCGUCAAUCUGGAGAUGAUGGGGAAGCUGAUGGAAAGCUUGAUGCAGUAGAGGAAAAGUCGCUACUUUUCCGAUAUUCAUAAGCCGUCUGCACCGGCACUGAAACAUCUGCUCAGCAAGUUGGUCUGCCCCUCCCAGCAUGCAGGAUCAACGCUGUUUGAGUUUAUCGUUAAUAGGGGUUGCCUGUACAUGUUACCCGGUGUGUUCUCCUUGGGUUUUGUCGGCCCGGAACAGAUCGAUCUGCAAUGCCUUGUGGACCAUUUAACCAGGAAUGAGGAUGAAAGGCGCACGGCUAACCUGUUUCGGUACCUUCAACAAACAUCGUUUGUGGAUUGUUUCGACCCAUUGGAAACGAUGGCAGGGGAGAGCCUUUUCCAUAUGGCUGUAAGGUUGAACAAUUGCUUUGUAGCACAACGGAUCUUUCAAGCCAAGUACGGCGAUCAUUCUAAGGACGAGCAAAGGAACGUUUUGCUCCAGUUGCUUGGUGAGGACCGUGCGUGCGAGCUGAUUCGAAAGUGGAACAUUUAAGGUGCUAAUGAGCGAUGUGAUGCUCAAUCUACUCCUUCGUCCUUGUGGACAUGGACAAAAACAAUUCCUGUAAGUGACAGCAAGUGAGCUUAAAUUAAGCACUCUUCACUAUUUGCCGCAACAACUUUCAUUCGACAGACAGCCGUUUUUUUUUCUUUCGGUGCCAAAUAAAGCUUAAGGACGUUUGUAAUAAAUUGA
Anopheles stephensi (Asian malaria mosquito) is the source of this 8694-nucleotide RNA transcript. RefSeq lists it as uncharacterized. The record is from RefSeq and is a predicted model, not a curated record. NCBI's taxonomy places the organism in Eukaryota, Metazoa, Arthropoda, Insecta, Diptera, Culicidae. The transcript is spliced from 4 exons.